AAGCCUGAUGCAGCAACGCCGUGUGAGUGAAGAAGGUUUCGGAUCGUAAAACUCUGUCCUAAGAGAAGAAACAAAUGACGGUACCUUAGGAGGAAGCCCCGGCUAACUACGUGCCAGCAGCCGCGGUAAUACGUAGGGGGCAAGCGUUAUCCGGAAUCACUGGGCGUAAAGGGUGCGUAGGCGGCUUAGCAAGCCAGGGGUGAAAGGCAUUGGCUCAACCAAUGUAAGCCUUUGGAACUGUUAAGCUUGAGUGCAGGAGAGGUAAGUGGAAUUCCUAGUGUAGAGGUGAAAUUCGUAGAUAUUAGGAGGAACACCAGUGGCGAAGGCGACUUACUGGACUGUAACUGACGCUGAUGCACGAAAGCGUGGGUAGCGAACAGGAUUAGAUACCCUUGUAG
Molecule: ribosomal RNA, 398 nt
Filed under: uncultured bacterium
Lineage: Bacteria
Description: bacterial SSU rRNA
Rfam family: Bacterial small subunit ribosomal RNA
Source: RNAcentral